AAACCAGCUCACACUCCUUCAGGGCUUGCCCAAGUCUUUGUUGUGUUUCACAGAGGCCCUGUGUCCUGAAAUGAAGGGCAAAUAGCCCAAAGAUACUGGGACAGCAGUCCUUUCGCCUCUGCUGCUAGGCUGGGUCUGACCGACUCGCUGAAAGAUGCUGAAAUUGGUCACACCGCCUCGAGUCCCAAGGCCCGGACAGAUGUGUUCUAUACACUUGUUUAAACACGGCGCUCAUUAGGAAGUAAGGCAUGUAAAGCAAGUUGAUUACACCACAAAGCAGGCCGCUUUAUCACGGGGGCCUCUCCGGAGGCGGCGGGAGGGGCUGUCAGCUGCCACUGUCACUCUUCUGCCCCUCGGAUCCUGAGUGACAGCCAGGCCCGCCACCUCCUCAGCUGCCUGCUCGGAACUACACAGCUUCCCGUCAGAGUGCCGCCGAGCUGCCUGGGAGGAGACCCAGUUACUCACAGUUAACCAUGUUCUGAAAACAUUCAGUGGAAAACUUCAGAAGAGCUAAGAAGUUAAGCAACAGAGCAGACUGCCACAACUGCUCUAUUUUGUUAUUGCUUAUUGGUGCCAAUCCCUUGCUGUGCCCAACUUUAUCCUACAUACAUGCUUCGGACAAAGCGCUGCCAUGGUAUUGGGUGUCUGUUGGGGUCCUGUCUGGAUAAGAGGGCAUACUGCAUUUGCUUGUAAUGAAAAUGGGUUUUCUCCUGGUGACUUGCCUACUGUUGGGUUAUCUGAGACUCCAUGACAAUGUUCUGAGGAUGAAAAGAAGGCAGUUCACUCUGUGCUGAAGAUCUUUUGCGACACCCUUUUCUGUGAGUUGCCCCAGUGACUCAGACUGUGUUCCUAGACACUUUGGAAAGAAGAAUGUCCUUUCUCCCACUAAAGCCUCCUUAGCCUUGAUAUCUGUGGCCCAGUGAGGGUAAUGAUGCUUUCCUUGGAAAGGGGUCUAAGUGAACUUCCAUCUGAGCAUGCUUGUGUGCCCUUCCCCAGGAUCUGUGAGUCAUCACCUUUUGCUUCAGCCCAGACGACAUAAUCGUCUGCCCAAGAACCCACAAUGGUUUGUCCUUGGACAAUUUGAAGGAUGUGAUUCUGCCUUGAGGGCACAUUUUGGGGAGGUGGAACCUCCAUUUAUUUGUCUCCACGAUUGUUUCCUCUGUGCUUUGUGGCUGCCUGUCCCCUGCCUUCUCAUCCGCUCCUGUGACUGUUAAUAACCUGCACACGGGUAAGGAAUUCUGCAUCGUGUGUGUGCGCAUGUGUAAUGCGUCCAGCAAAUGUUCUUAAUGAUGCAUUCAGAGUGCCACUCCCCCAAGGCCCAGCUUCCAUUUCAUCCAAAUCCAUUCAUUUUGCCAUACAGACCUUGGGGAUGAAAAUUCCUGACUCUUGUGAAAAGCAAAAACACCUUCUGAACACAUGCACAAACACACACACACACACACACACACACACACACACACACACACACACACGAGAGUCUAAAUUCCCCAAGUUUUCAUUCCCUUCAUGGUUGAGCUUCAAUGACUCAAGUCAUUUGCAGGCAAUCUAUUUAGUUGGCUGGUCCUGCUGACUUCCAGGAGGUCAGCCCUUCUGAUUUUGCUCCUUCAGGGGCAGCAUGUGGCCCCAGCUGGCUAUGUGAUGAUGGGAAUGGGAGCAGAGGGGUUGCGUUGUCUGGAAGCCACGUUGGGAGUUUGCAGGGUGCCGUGCGCCCUGUAGAGAUGGAGGUUUUCAGGGAGAGAUUUGGUUUGGGGUUUGCUGAUGGGAGGUGGGAUUGAUAUGAUUACAUAUACAUUACUGGGAGCAAUAUCUAGCGAUUAGAUGUUAUCUUCCAGGUGUUUAAAAGAAACCUUUAAUAUUUUAAGCUGCUUGGAGACCUCUCGGCACUUUAUUAAAAUAGCUACAAUUGAGCAUGCCAGUUGGUGGCGGUGCUUUCUCUGGAUUUUCUUGCCAGCUCAGGGCCCUGGAACCCAGGGUACCUCUGAAAGGACUCAGAAGCAUUUAUUGUGCUGGCUUCUGCCUGGGAACAAUUGGGGCAGCCACCCAUUGAAUGGGUGGUAGUGGGCUGGCCAGGCACUUCUGGCCCCUGUCAAUCCUUCUCCCAAGCUCUGUGACUUCUUGAACCACUUGAUUGAAUCCCUCAGAAGUUCCCGCCUCCGAAUCUUACACAAUUGCCUGUUCUCUCUUUAUUAGGCGCUUUGAGGGACAUCGUGGUCUACACCUGCCUUUGAAGGGGCCCCCACCACGGUUUUAAUGACCUCCAUUUGUCAAAGGAAAAGUUCAGAGUUCAUUCUUUUGUCCGAGCCCUGGCAACUGAAGCGUCGAGGGUACUGGCUGGUCAGUGAUCUUUAUGUCACUGGCUUGAAAUCUUUCCCAGUGACCCCGCUCAUGUCAAAACAGCUAGCUGGCCACUCUGGCCAUUGUCAUCAGAAUAAGGGCUAAGUGAUGCUGCUUGGUCAUUACGUGUGCCCUGAUUGCCAAUCAGGGCACAAUAGGAGGUCAUUAAAGGCCAUAAAAGUGCCAAAACUGAGAAAGAAGACUUUGAAUGGAGCCAGAGGGCCCUGGGAGCUCUGGCUAGCCUGGCGGCCUCCAGAAGGGGGACAUGAGCAAUCUUGGAGGGGAAACAUCAACUUGAUGGGGUUAAGAAGUUUUUCUUCCUUGGAUACUUUGAAUAAAUAUGUCCCAAGCUACUUUCACAGCCAGUCCUUCCUUUCUCAGAUGAUACUAGGGUCAGAAACCAAGCAAUAUUGCAUGGGAGGACAGCCUAGGGUUCCAGUUUCCAGAAGGAUUCUGAUACCGUCUGGGCCAACCGGAAGUCAGUCCUGUCACUCAAUUGCAGUCAACACAUACCUAGGUGCAUACACAGCUCUCUGCAGGGCCAGAGGUGGCUUUCUCAGAACACUUACUCCAUACCAGGCUUUGCUGUGUUCUGAAUGCUUCUCGGGUGUUAACUCAGAUAAGCCCUACACUAAGCCUCGUAGGCAACAGAAGUCCUGGGUCUCUUCCCCCGGCAUUGCCUAUCUCAGAGAGGCGCUUCAGAGGGUCAUGGGAGUCUCUUCUCUUGUGUAAACACUGGAAGUUAUGUUUUAUUAGGAUACACUCGAUCUCUAGCCUCAAGUUGGAUCCUGGGGUCCACACUGCCCCCAUCCUCGCUUGAUCAUCCCAAAGUUGAACACAGAGAACUGGGGUGUGGACAUUGGCCAGUUCCGAGGUGCCAGUGCCUGCAUGGCACUGUAUAGCUUCACGCCUGUCGCUGCCAGCUCCACUGACUGGGCUGCCAUUCACUGUGUAGGAUAUCAGAGAGUCUAGACCCUUCCUUUCUGUGUCCCUUUGGGCCAAUCACUUCACCUCUCUGUGAGGGAGCUUUUGUCACUGGAUCUUGCCAAGGGUGGGUGGUCACCGAACUCAUGUAGAACUUCUCAAUGGGCUCUCCUUCUCUGACUUAGACUAUGGAUAGAGGGCAUACAAUGGUCCUCUUGGAGGUAAUCUUCUAUUGCAAGGCAAGUCAUUUUGAAACCUUGGUUUCUGAUUUCACAGAAACUAAAGUCCCUGUAAAUUUCUAGAGGCAGGAAGACUUGGGGGAAAUGUGAGGUUUGUUCUGCGUGUCUUUGAGCUCCGUGCAUCUCACAGGGGUGUGUGCCCUUCUCCUCUACCUAUCGGGAAGCUCAAGGAUUGGGUGUAGAAUUCUCCCAGACAACUCCAUACAAGGGCAACUUUCAGCCCUUUGAGAGUUACCUUUUUCUUAAUAAGCAGCCUUCUGACCCCAGAAAUCAGCUGGGAGUGAGUGGUAUGGGCACCAGAGGAAGGGGUUCUAUCCUCAGACUGUUGGGGGUUUCCAGAACUGUGUUGGCAAGCUGCAUAUGGAGCCAACAAAAAAGGCCCUGGACUCCAAAGAGGGAAAGCUCCUCGAGGACCAGCUCUGGUAGCCCUCUCAGAGAUUCUGUGUCCCACGAGACGGGGCUGUCCGGAGCACUUAAUGUCUGGGAGGAGGAGGUGCAGGGAGGAAAAUUAGUGCAGAUGCCUGGAACAGAAUGGUCUCACAAUUCCUAGUGUAACCGCCACAGACUGAUUGCCGCUGAGCUCUUAAGGUGAGCAGUGCGCCUCUUCUGUGGGCCUCAGGGAGUCCACUCUGAUGGAGACCGGAGAAAGAGAGGACGGAAAAGGGAGAGAAGGGGAGCAAAGUGCACGCUCAUGGCCUCUUUCCUUAGUUCAAGGUUCUCUUUGAAUGAUUAAUUUGUUCUCCUUCAAAUCAAAAGCUGUUGAGAGCGUCUCAUGGCCAGUCUCUGCACGGGUGAUUUACGGCCCUUUUAAAAACCUGUCUCUUCCCCUCCUGUCUCCAGGUCUUCUCCCCCUCUAUUUUGAAGUCUAUCUCAUUUUAAAGCCCAAGCUGAUCCCAGACUCAAGAUCCUCCCACCUCUGUCUCCCCGCUGCUGAGAUGACAGGCCUGUCCCAGCAAGCCUGCCAUCACCUCCCUCUCUUGGCUUAGAACAGAGCCAGCUUUUCUUCCUCUUUGUUGGAGGGGACGAGGUCUUGAGAAUGGGAGGGCAGGCUUUGCAGAUGGAGUUAGUCCCUGGUUCGGAGACUGACGUCUCUGCAACAUUUGGAAUGUCCAUUCUACCCUUGAUGAUGUAUCCAUAGGAACAUUCUGGAACAACAAGGCACUACGUUAGACUCUUGUACUCUUGCCUGACUUAGGCCAGACUUGCCUCCACAAAUAGAGAUUCCUUGCCUCCGGGAAUUUUCCAAGCACAUUUGUCUCUGUCUAGGAGACAGGUGGGAUCCUGCCAUCAUCUCUGACUUUCAAAUUCCCGGAACCUGACAGUGUUGGAAAUCUUAUCCAUCCUGCAUCCUGUUCCUUGGAAUAGCAGAAAUGAUGCCUGGGACUUGCAGCUGCUGAAGUUUGCAUUAUCCAGUGAUGCCUUUGGGAAGAUGCUGUCAACUUCCAGGUCAGAAAAUUCCCACGUUUGCUGGUGUUCACAGUUAAAGUGCCAGGCAUCUACAUAGUCUGUUGUGGAUAGCCAUGCUCACCAUGUGACCCAGGGCCAUGCCCUCUCUGUGGCUGACCCUUUGUGGUACAAGAUGGUGGAGCUGAACCAUUGUGGGCUUCUUCUAUUGCUAACAUGCCAUUUCAACCAUUCUUUCCUUCAUUUAUUUCAUAUAUGUUUACUAUGAGGCUUAUGCUAUGUAUUGACCUCAUGGAAUCACUGAAUUCAUUUGUGAGUGAGACAGUAGCCUCAGGUCCCACAGCUCAAAGGAAAUCUGAACAAUUGGAAAGGAUACCAUGGAACCUGCAGAAGGAUGAAGGAGGGUCUCGGGGAGAGUUUACAAGAGAUGGAUUUCAUAGCUCAGAGACUGACAACUAUGCCGAGAAGUCUUGGCAGAUGGUACCUGAAGAGCUGAGUGCUCUACCUUCAAUGACGUUUAAGUGUGUUACAGGGACAGCCUGCAAGGCCUGUCCAAGUAGUUCCUUCUCAAGAGGCUGGGGCAGUGGUAUAGGGGGUCCUUCUGUUUAUGUGUUGCUUUCAUUGGUUGAAUAAAGAAACUGCUUUGGCCU
Non-coding RNA from Myodes glareolus (Bank vole), 5551 nucleotides. The record is from RefSeq and is a predicted model, not a curated record. NCBI's taxonomy places the organism in Eukaryota, Metazoa, Chordata, Mammalia, Rodentia, Cricetidae.